Anguilla anguilla (European eel) is the source of this 1098-nucleotide long non-coding RNA. RefSeq lists it as uncharacterized. NCBI's taxonomy places the organism in Eukaryota, Metazoa, Chordata, Actinopteri, Anguilliformes, Anguillidae. The record is from RefSeq and is a predicted model, not a curated record. The transcript is spliced from 4 exons.
UGCAGUGAAAAUUCUUGGAUGCAUCAAAUGACUACUACACCUCUGCUGUUUUACGUUCUGUUCUGGACAGCAACCAAAGGAUGUACACAGUAAAAUCUGAAAAAGAAUGAAAAAGAGUGAAGAGCAAAUAUUCUACACCUAUUCAGGUUGGACCAUGUGGGACCCAGCCUUGUCCUGCUGUCACCCCUAGAAGUCCUCCCUGUGAACCCCAACCGUCUCUUACCCGUGCUGACUCUCAAAUCAAGGCCCCGGAUUCCCAAGUGCCGUGUUCCUAAUCCCAUUGAGCAGCACUGGAUUACGGUGAAGAAAGCGGCCAGUUGCCUCGUGAAGUGACUGAGACAUGCCAGCUGAAAGGAGAGCACACUGCAGUGGAUCAGGGCCAGGCUCACAAUGCCAGGGCCCUGUGUGUGUCCGCAUGUACGCCUCUGUCAGAGCAAGCUACAAACACUGAGGAGAGGCACCAUCGGCGUCCAUUUUUCUACUCUGUGACCAAUGGGGAUAUAGCCUACUGCGUCCUCUGAGAUAGGAUCUCAACCUUUUGACCUGUGUCAUCAUUUUCUUGUAAAUCGGUGAUGUCUGUGGAGAUAGGUGGGUUUCUGUCCUUCAUUUCAAAUCAGGUCUUGCACAGAACCUUUCACUGUGUAGGAACUUGACUAAUCGAAUGUGGAUAAGUUUAUAAUCAAAAGCCGCAUCAAAGACCACCUGGAACAUGAAUCCUGGAAGAAAGAGACUUCCCAGAGAAGAAUGUGUAUUUCUUAUUUUCCCAUUGAAAACAAGUUUGAUGAUCAAAUAAUUUUCCAUGUUCCUUCAGCAACAAUUUGAAGCAAAUGCUCAAUUUUAUUGACUUCAUUUUAUGUAUUGUCUAGGUGCUGAUUGCUGAUGCUUGCAACAGUUCAUACACUUGCUGAUCUGGAAACAUGCUCCCAUACAUGCUUGUUGAUUUAGUGGAUCAUUUGAUAAAAGUCUCAGACUAUUUUUAGUUACUUUCGAAAAACUGGGAAUUGUGUAUUAGUGUGAAGCACGAUUUAGAUGUACACUUUGGCUUUUCUCAUAGAUUUUCUAGAAUGUCGGGACAUUCUUUUUCAUUGAGAAGAAUCA